CUUCUGACGCCUCACCUGCGCCUUACCGCUGUCUAGUAACGUCAGCAGCUCACCGAAGGAUCCCAACUCACCACCUGGAUGUGCUUUUUUGGAAGAAGAAAAAGGAGGUCAGAGAGACACUAAAGCAAGAGUCUUAAAAGGAGAAACCACCUCAAUCAGCUGCAGAACAAUGAACGUUCAGGAAUUGGUGGCGAUUCCAGGGAGCGGCAAUCCCACGGCUGACAGGCAAACGUUCACGGUGCACUCGGAGAAAAACUUAUCCCCUUUUGUAAAAGGCUUAAGUUUAAGAACAAGCUCAGCUGAAGUUGCCUCCUGUGCCCAUAUUCAACCACAAGUGGAUCGUAAAUCACGCCGACUGUUUGGCAGAAGCCAUGGAUCAUUGUACAAUGGUUAAUUAAAGCCAAAUCAAUUUCAGUGCCAGUGGUCUUUUUUACACUGUUCCUACAGAAUGCAGUCCCACGGUGGAGUCAGGAGGAGGAGGAUGACGAGGACCAUAGCGUUUGCUCAGGGCUAGAAAAGAGGCUGCCACUCAUAUUUGUACAGAAGACAAAGCCUCGUGGGCUCUCUGGCACUAUAUGAAAGAUGUGUUUUCACAGCGCGUACAGCAAAUACAACUGUUAUUUUUUUUUUCU
Molecule: long non-coding RNA, 632 nt
Organism: Oreochromis aureus
Lineage: Eukaryota; Metazoa; Chordata; Actinopteri; Cichliformes; Cichlidae
Exons: 3
Source: RefSeq, a predicted model, not a curated record